UAGAAAGGAUGAUCUCUGUAAACGAUGCGAUAGAGAGAAUAUUAUCAAAGAAGGUUCUUUUCUUCCUUUUCUCUCUUCUUUCUUUCUUCUUUUCUCUCUUUAUGUGGUUUUUGUUGUAUUAACUUAUGCCUUUGCUCCAUCAUCAUGUUCAAUCUUCACCUUCUUUUCUUUCCAAUUCUUCAAAAGGUGCAAUCUUUAUCUUCAAAAGGUGCAAUCUUUAUCCUCAAAAGGUGCAAUCUUUCUCCUCAAAAGGUGCAAUCUUUCUUCCAAACCACUGUUUUCAAGACUUUCGAUAGGAGUUGAUGAAUUUGAAUUUGUAGCAUAAUAUGACCAAUCUUUCUAUAGGAGUUGAUGAAUUUGUAGCAUAAUAUGACCAUUUU
RNAcentral lists this long non-coding RNA (380 nucleotides) under Lupinus mutabilis. RNAcentral describes it as "partial ncRNA". The record is from RNAcentral. Lineage: Eukaryota; Viridiplantae; Streptophyta; Magnoliopsida; Fabales; Fabaceae.